GGAAGAGUUUGUCAGGUUCUCCCUUCUCUGUCAACCCACUUUACCCUCCCAACCACCCAGGAAGAAGGCAUUGUCAAAUACUAUAAUCCGUCUGCUAUUGACCAAGACUUCAUUGUGUGGCGCGUGACGGAACUGUGUCUCUGGACAAGAAGAGCAUUUGCAGGGACAUGAAAGUUAUCUAAGUUUCAGUUUGCUGAUGGGGCAGCUUAGGCAGGAGCAGCUCUAUCUUCAGCUUAGAAAUUUACUUCAGUACCUGGAACACCAGAGGAAGCGAAUUCUGGGAAGCGCAGAUCCAGUGUGGAUAACUUGACAUGGUACAAAGUCACCACAGAGUCUGUCCCUGCUGGCAAGGAAAAGGACUGAGAAAGCUAAUAUUUAUCGAGUACAUUCUGGGCCAGGUUGCAGGUUGAACACCGAGACAGUACGAUGGUGCAGAGUAACAUGAGGAAAUGUGCCCAUGACAUCGUUUAGGCAUAUGGGACAGAUGCCUCUCUCUGGAGGGGUAACCUGGACGCACGAUGGAGGAAUGAGGGCCAAGAGAAGGGAGUGGCUUCAGCAACCAGCUGCUUAAAGAGCUCUGUGACAUCUUGUUCAGUCACUUCUCUCCAUUUGAAUGAC
RNAcentral lists this long non-coding RNA (618 nucleotides) under Equus asinus (donkey). RNAcentral's name for it is "lncRNA (ENSEASG00005034717.1)". Lineage: Eukaryota; Metazoa; Chordata; Mammalia; Perissodactyla; Equidae. The record is from RNAcentral.